GGUGCACUAGUAAUAAUAAAAGAAAAAAAAAGACAUAAAAAGGACUUGAACAUGAAUUAUUGGAGGCGCACAUUGCACAACAUGUGAUCUACCAAAUUAUUAAUGAUUUACCUCACAAAAUUCAAAAUAUAAAUAUUAGAAUCCUAAAUAUUAUUAGGGGUGCACAUGCACCCAUAGUAUAUAAGGUGGCUUCGCCCCUGAGAUUGAUGUCACGGUUCUAUAGUUACAGAAUCAGAAACUUAUCCAGCAAUUAAACUUACCUUAGCUUUUCGAGGAAUCCUUCAUCAGUGGUCGUGAAUAACUGAUUUUUCUCAGGACGAUGUUGAGACCAAGGUCCAAGAGUUGCAUCUCAACCAAAUAUGACGACCAAUUUAUCUCUGUUAGCCUGCUUUGGAACCAGAACCAGGUCAGAUAUUACUUUUGUGUCUUUUUUUUCUUUCGAGUUGUCUAGUUCCAUUAGGUGGUUUUCCUUUCGCUAACAAAUGAACAACAUUAUUACCGGUUCUUCUAACAAACAUAUGUAAUGACGUAGAGAAUUAUCAUCUCAAAACCAAAUCAAAAAACCAAAUAUGGCGUAAAAGAUUAUGAAAAUUAGGUAUUAUUAAUCAAAACCUCCGAAUCUCCUUCAAAAAUGGUAUUAGAAAACCACAACUCCAAGUUGAUUGCAUUGCUAAGAGGAGGGUCUUUGCUUCUGCUUCCAAACUUGAAAAUGUCAUGUCUGCAUAUGAUGAUCCCCCAACUUUGUUACUCCAUAGCUAUUGCCAACAAUCCAGCCGCAUUGAACUUUCAGAGUGUUUUAAUUGUAAGAAGCGUUGUAGUUGCAUUUAAACAUUUCGUCGGUGGUCGGACCCAAAACAUAUUUUGUCGAACAGUUUGGUUAGUUUGGUUUGGUUGAUCUAUAAGUGUACUAAUCGUUCCACAUCAGCAACCACAUACUCUACUGUUCAGUAAAUUAAAGUUUUCUAUUUCUGAAAUAACAAAACAUUCCAUUAUAUAAUAGAGAAAUUAAUAUGAAUAUUUUACAUGAAAUGUUACAUGAUGCGUGCGUGAAAAUGCAACAGGAGAAUAAUAAAUAAAAAAGUUUAUUUUUUUUACUUUGAGUGGUAUCUUAGAUCCAUGUGACGGACUAUGGUUUUUUUUUGGCGGCGGUCAUUGUCUCCUCCCUUCCCGGAUAAUUGUGCAAUCUGACAGAACAAAACUCGACGGCAUCUCCAAGUGGUAUUUCUCAUCACUCCUUGCCAAUUGGUGGGGUCAUGAAGCGUAGUCUCGUAUGAAAGCUUUCGGCUUUGGUGACUCGGCGGUUCAACUCCGCUAGCCACAAGUUUGUCCUCGGAGCUAAGGAUUUGUCUUUCUGAUUGUUAGAAAAGGUUGCAGCAACAGCGGAAGGUGCUAACGAAGUUGCUAUGCUAUCUUACCGUUCUGAGGGGACAUGAAUAUGUGGUAAUUCGGACAACCUAUUUUGAGAAAUUAAUUAAAUUAAUAUAUUAAAAAACCGAAAAACAUUAUGAAUAUUUGAUAUGUAUUCCAUCCAUGAUGCCCUGACCGGUCUUUCUCA
RNAcentral lists this long non-coding RNA (1555 nucleotides) under Brassica napus (rape). Its description in RNAcentral is "long non-coding RNA (BNAP_LNC014711)". The record is from RNAcentral. Lineage: Eukaryota; Viridiplantae; Streptophyta; Magnoliopsida; Brassicales; Brassicaceae.